CUAAGUUAUACUAAAGAGGGUUGGUAAAUUUCGUGCCAGCCACCGCGGUCAUACGAUUAACCCGAACUAAUAGGCCCACGGCGUAAAGCGUGUUUAAGAUAACAUAUUACUAAAGUUAAAACUUAACUAAGCCGUAAAAAGCUACAGUUACCAUAAAAUAUACUACGAAAGUGACUUUAAAAUUUUCUGAUUACACGAUAGCUAAGACCCAAACUGGGAUUAGAUACCCCACUAUGCUUAGCCCUAAACAUAAAUAGUUCUAUAACAAAACAAUUCGCCAGAGAACUACUAGCAACAGCUUAAAACUCAA
RNAcentral lists this ribosomal RNA (310 nucleotides) under Vulpes vulpes (red fox). RNAcentral describes it as "partial 12S ribosomal RNA". It matches the Rfam family "Bacterial small subunit ribosomal RNA", at positions 473 to 904 of the family's 1533-position model. Lineage: Eukaryota; Metazoa; Chordata; Mammalia; Carnivora; Canidae. The record is from RNAcentral.